This 70-nucleotide transfer RNA is filed under the name Gasteruption sp. M19. Its description in RNAcentral is "tRNA-Met". The record is from RNAcentral. Lineage: Eukaryota; Metazoa; Arthropoda; Insecta; Hymenoptera; Gasteruptiidae.
AAAAAAAUAAGCUAAUUUAAGCUUUUAGAUUCAUAAUCUAAAAAUAGAUAUUUUGAUUGUCUUUUUUUUA